This 519-nucleotide ribosomal RNA is filed under the name uncultured eukaryote. Its description in RNAcentral is "SSU rRNA". It matches the Rfam family "Eukaryotic small subunit ribosomal RNA", at positions 1161 to 1699 of the family's 1831-position model. The record is from RNAcentral.
AGGGCACCACCAGGAGUGGAGCCUGCGGCUUAAUUUGACUCAACACGGGAAAACUCACCCGGCCCGGACACUGGAAGGAUUGACAGAUUGAGAGCUCUUUCUUGAUUCAGUGGGUGGUGGUGCAUGGCCGUUCUUAGUUGGUGGAGUGAUUUGUCUGGUUAAUUCCGAUAACGAACGAGACUCUAGCCUACUAAAUAGAUCGUCGGCUUACAAACGCCGGCGAGACUUCUUAGAGGGACAGGCGGUGAUUCAACCGCACGAAACAGAGCAAUAACAGGUCUGUGAUGCCCUUAGAUGUCCGGGGCCGCACGCGCGCUACACUGAAGUGAUCAGCGUGCUUUUUCAACCUACUCUGUCAAGAGUGGGGAACCCAAUGAACCUUCUUCGUGAUCGGGAUAGGGGAUUGUAAUUAUUCCCCUUGAACGAGGAAUUCCCAGUAAGCGCGAGUCAUAAGCUCGCGUUGAUUACGUCCCUGCCCUUUGUACACACCGCCCGUCGCUACUACCGAUUGAAUGUUUU